AACGCACCUUGCGCCCUCUGGUAUUCCGGAGGGCAUGCCUGUUUGAGUGUCAUGAACACCUCACCCCCUCGGGUUUCCGAUUGGGUGGAUUUGGGUGCUGCCAGUUACAUGGCUCGCCUUAAACGCAUUAGCGGUUGUUGACGUAAUAAGUUUCGUCUUGUCGACCGCUUCUAAUCUCCUUCGGGAUGUCUUUCGGGACACUUCAUGAUCUGACCUCAAAUCAGGUAGGACUACCCGCUGAACUUAA
This 247-nucleotide unclassified non-coding RNA is filed under the name uncultured Vishniacozyma. RNAcentral describes it as "sequence contains ITS2". The stretch from base 1 to 52 matches the Rfam family "5.8S ribosomal RNA", at positions 103 to 154 of the family's 154-position model. The record is from RNAcentral. Lineage: Eukaryota; Fungi; Basidiomycota; Tremellomycetes; Tremellales; Bulleribasidiaceae.